UAGAGUUUGAUCCUGGCUCAGGAUGAACGCUGGCGGCGUGCCUAAUACAUGCAAGUCGAGCGAACAGAUAAGGAGCUUGCUCCUUUGACGUUAGCGGCGGACGGGUGAGUAACACGUGGGUAACCUACCUAUAAGACUGGAAUAACUCCGGGAAACCGGGGCUAAUGCCGGAUAACAUGUUGAACCGCAUGGUUCUACAGUGAAAGGCGGCUUUGCUGUCACUUAUAGAUGGACCCGCGCCGUAUUAGCUAGUUGGUAAGGUAACGGCUUACCAAGGCAACGAUACGUAGCCGACCUGAGAGGGUGAUCGGUCACACUGGAACUGAGACACGGUCCAGACUCCUACGGGGCGCAG
Molecule: ribosomal RNA, 355 nt
Filed under: uncultured bacterium
Lineage: Bacteria
Description: bacterial SSU rRNA
Rfam family: Bacterial small subunit ribosomal RNA
Source: RNAcentral